GUAACGGCGAGUGAAGCGGCAACAGCUCAAAUUUGAAAUCUGGCCCUCGGGUCCGAGUUGUAAUUUGUAGAGGAUGCUUUUGGCGCGGUGCCUUCCGAGUUCCCUGGAACGGGACGCCUUAGAGGGUGAGAGCCCCGUACGGUUGGACACCAAGCCUCUGUAAAGCUCCUUCGACGAGUCGAGUAGUUUGGGAAUGCUGCUCUAAAUGGGAGGUAAAUUUCUUCUAAAGCUAAAUAUUGGCCAGAGACCGAUAGCGCACAAGUAGAGUGAUCGAAAGAUGAAAAGCACUUUGAAAAGAGGGUUAAAUAGCACGUGAAAUUGUUGAAAGGGAAGCGUUUGCGACCAGACCUUUUCCUAGCGGAUCAUCCGGUGUUCUCACCGGUGCACUUCGCUAGGUUUAGGCCAGCAUCGGUUUCUGUAGGGGGAUAAAAGCCCUGGGAACGUAGCUCCUCCGGGAGUGUUAUAGCCCUCUGCAUAAUACCCUUACAGGGACCGAGGACCGCGCUUUUGGCAAGGAUGCUGGCGUAAUGGUCGUCAACGACCCGUCUUGACC
RNAcentral lists this ribosomal RNA (553 nucleotides) under Xylaria sp. BM9. Its description in RNAcentral is "eukaryotic LSU rRNA". It matches the Rfam family "Eukaryotic large subunit ribosomal RNA", at positions 83 to 659 of the family's 3401-position model. Lineage: Eukaryota; Fungi; Ascomycota; Sordariomycetes; Xylariales; Xylariaceae. The record is from RNAcentral.